AGCGAACGCUGGCGGCAGGCCUAACACAUGCAAGUCGAACGAACUCUUCGGAGUUAGUGGCGGACGGGUGAGUAACACGUGGGAACGUGCCUUUUGGUUCGGAAUAACUCAGGGAAACUUGUGCUAAUACCGAAUGUGCCCUUCGGGGGAAAGAUUUAUCGCCAUUAGAGCGGCCCGCGUCUGAUUAGCUGGUUGGUGAGGUAACGGCCCACCAAGGCGACGAUCAGUAGCUGGUCUGAGAGGAUGACCAGCCACACUGGGACUGAGACACGGCCCAGACUCCUACGGAAGGCAGCAGUGGGGAAUCUUGCGCAAUGGGCGAAAGCCUGACGACGCCAUGCCGCGUGAAUGAUGAAGGUCUUAGGAUUGUAAAAUUCUUUCACCGGGGACGAUAAUGACGGUACCCGGAGAAGAAGCCCCGGCUAACUACGUG
RNAcentral lists this ribosomal RNA (433 nucleotides) under uncultured bacterium. RNAcentral's name for it is "partial 16S ribosomal RNA". It matches the Rfam family "Bacterial small subunit ribosomal RNA", at positions 29 to 507 of the family's 1533-position model. The record is from RNAcentral.